RNAcentral lists this long non-coding RNA (2820 nucleotides) under Homo sapiens (human). RNAcentral's name for it is "NR2F1 regulatory antisense RNA 1, transcript variant 45 (NR2F1-AS1)". Lineage: Eukaryota; Metazoa; Chordata; Mammalia; Primates; Hominidae. The record is from RNAcentral.
ACAGGAGCCCCAGCCCCACACAGCAACCACCCGGGCGAGAAAGAAAGAAAGAGCCAGGGAGGCGGGCGAAGCGCGGGGAGAGAAGCAGAGAAGAAAUAUUCACCUUCCCGCCUCAUGCCCACUUUGAGGCACUUCUUGAGGCGGCAGUAUUGGCACUGGUUGCGGUGGUGCUGGUCGAUGGGACAGUUCCUGUUGGCACGGCAUGUCAGGUAGAUGAAACUCAAGAGAAAAGGUGUGGAUAAAUGAAACUAGCCCAUGAUGAACCUGUUUUCUCCGUGACCACAAUAUUAACCAGGAUGAAUGGCGGUGGCAGUGGGCCUGCAUCACAGGUUGCAGCAGAUGUUCUCAAUAUUUCUAUUAAAAUUUCCUUAUUUCCAUAUGCAAGAGGAGCCCCAGAGCUGCAUCCUUAUGGUAGCUACCAUGCCGUGAUGUAAGCUGCCAUUCACUGGGGAGCUUUGGCAAUAGAAUUGGCUAGAUCAGGAAGCCUAUGUCAACUAUGGAACAACAACUUGCAGCUCAUCUCUAUUGAUGGUGAAACAGUCGCAAAUGGAAUUCCAAGAAACAUUCUAUCAUCAGGUAUUAUCUACUGCUGUCUGCAGAAUUCAGACAUGGAGGGCUCAAUGGUGUCCCCUGGUCUUUGGAACAUUCUGUAUUUUAAUGAUCAUGAUACACUGCCUCUAGGACUGGGACAGAUAGCCACUGAGUACCUGCUUCAAAUCACCCUGCACGUUUUCUCUUUGGAAAGAUAAGCACUGGAGAACCAUCUCGUUACCUUCAGCAGAAAUGGAAACAAAUCAAGACAUUAAGAAUGCCGCAGUGGACAGCAGUUAUGCAAGGUUCAGCAGAGGAAGUUUUCAAGAUGGUGUGCCUCACUAGCCAGAAAUCAGAAAAGAUCGAAGCUAGCCUUUUCAUCUCAGCUGCUCCUUAAAUCAGUGCAACCCCUCCAAAUUAAUGUGAAUUGAAACUUGCAUUGCUUUUCAACUUAAUUGAAUACUUACUAUAUGUGAACCACUGCACAAAAUAGGGGAAGAAGAUGUGGGAGACAAAGAUGUGGAGCCUGUCUUCAAUAAAUUUACAGUUAGUUUCAGGGUACAUUGUUUUUCUUCUGCUGUUAAUUAGGUGUAUCCCCAAGACAAUAAAUACAUGAAUGGAAAAGUAUAUUCUGUGUUUUAAGUCUCUUUAAUAAAAAACAAAACAAAAUCCAAAAAAACUCCUAACAUGGCAACUCAGGACAUUUUAAUCCUUUUUUUUGUUGUUGGGCUUCUGAUAGGAUCCAUUUUAUUGAUUCCAUAAAUAUUUAGUAGACUUUAGACAUAUUAAUACAUUGUAGUUUGAGUUAAUUUGCAUUAAAUUCUGUUUUUUUCCCCUUAGGUAUAGAUUGUCUGUUGGAAAAAUAUAUUGCUUGUGGAUUUCUUGGGGAGUGGGAAGGUGAAUUAUACCUGUUGUCUCUACAGUCCACUACCUUCCACACCCUAGGGCAGUGGUCCCCAACCUUCUUGGCACCAGGGAUCAGUUUCCUGGAAGACAAUUUUUCUGUGGAUGGUGUGGGGAUGGUUUUGGGAUGGAACUGUUCCACCUCAGAUCAUCAGGCAUUAGUUAGGCUCUCAUAACGAGUGCGCAGCCUAGAUCCCUCACAUGCACAGUUCACAGUAGGGUUUGCGCUGCUAUGAGAAUCUAAGGCUGCCACUGAUCUGACAGGAGGCAGAACUCAGGUGGCAAUGCUUACUGGCCCACUGCUCACCUCUUGCUGUGCGGCCUGGUUCCUAAUAGGCCAUGGACCCCCACAGACGGGUACUAGUCUGCAGCCUGUGGACCCCAGCCCUAGGGGCCUGCCAUUCUGAGUGAGUUAUUAGCAUGAAGAAGAGGAAGAUCUGGAUCAAACGUGGGUGAUGGUACUCAGAGACCCAAGAUAGGAUAGGGAUGGAACAAAAUCCAUCUGGGCAACGGCUCUAUGAAAAUUUGGCUAAGUAAUUAUUUCAGUAUUCAUUGUAUUCAUUGUCCUUCGUGUUCCAUAAGUUAAAUGACUGUCUAAUUUUUCCAAAAAUUUAUUUCUGACUUGAGAAUAAGUGUGUCAUGAUUUUCCCAGUGUAAAGACACUGAUAUAACUGUAGAUACCAGACAUUUUAUGUAGUGUCUAUGACACAUUUUAGUAUGUAUGAGCCAACAAUAGACAUGUCUUUGUCUUGAGGAGUGUCCAUCUGAAUUGAAAAUGUGUCAGCUUUUUUUUAACAUCAUCAACAGACUUCUUAAUUAAGCUGCCAAUACAUACUGCCAAUAGCACUGUGUGCUGUCUGAGAAAUGCAUUGUGUAAGUGCUAUUUCCAUCUUAUUAAAUAAACAAUGUUGCUCUGUAUAAACUGGAUUUAAAGUGUUCUUUGAAUGAGGCAUUAUAUUGCUCCAUAAAUAAUGUGAUGUGAAUUCUCAUAUGAUCCCUUUUAACUUAAUUUCUAAAAAAAUAUUAUUUGCUCCUCAGUAAGGAAUAGCUCUAAUUGGACUGGUAACUUUAGUGAUAUGAUUUGUCUGUAACAGGCUGAAUCGCCCCACUCCCAAACUCCUGGUCGUGAUACUGGAUAUUUGUUAUGCCACUUUUAGUUUGCAUGAGGUAUCUUCCAGGAAGUAUUAGUUAUUAACUUGUGUUCUACUAAACUGUAGAUAUUUAUUUCCUGUUCUGGAAGAUUUCUUGGAGUGUCCAUCUGUGCAUUCCUGGUGCCUAGUGUAGUCUUGCUAAUGGAAUAGCACCUUUAUUGGUGCUACUUAGGGGUUGGUAGCUUACAAUCAAUCUACUUGGAACGUAUCCAAAUAAACUGGAUAUUUUUAUACA